UGGGGAAUUUUGGACAAUGGGCGAAAGCCUGAUCCAGCAAUGCCGCGUGUGUGAAGAAGGCCUUCGGGUUGUAAAGCACUUUUGUCCGGAAAGAAAUCCUUGGCUCUAAUACAGUCGGGGGAUGACGGUACCGGAAGAAUAAGCACCGGCUAACUACGUGCCAGCAGCCGCGGUAAUACGUAGGGUGCAAGCGUUAAUCGGAAUUACUGGGCGUAAAGCGUGCGCAGGCGGUUUGCUAAGACCGAUGUGAAAUCCCCGGGCUCAACCUGGGAACUGCAUUGGUGACUGGCAGGCUAGAGUAUGGCAGAGGGGGGUAGAAUUCCACGUGUAGCAGUGAAAUGCGUAGAGAUGUGGAGGAAUACCGAUGGCGAAGGCAGCCCCCUGGGCCAAUACUGACGCUCAUGCACGAAAGCGUGGGGGAGCAAACAGGAUUAGAUACCCUGGUAGUCCACGCCCUAAACGAUGUCAACUAGUUGUUGGGGAUUCAUUUCCUUAGUAACGUAGCUAACGCGUGAAGUUGACCGCCUGGGGGAGUACGGUCGCAAGAUUAAAACUCAAAGGAAUUGACGGGGUC
RNAcentral lists this ribosomal RNA (574 nucleotides) under uncultured bacterium. RNAcentral describes it as "partial 16S ribosomal RNA". It matches the Rfam family "Bacterial small subunit ribosomal RNA", at positions 355 to 920 of the family's 1533-position model. The record is from RNAcentral.